AAAGAAAAUAUCAUCAUUGAAGGUCAAACAAGGAGGUAACAUUUCGUUCGAUUUGAUCCACAAAUAGAAAACAAUGGUUACAUCAAAUGUUAAUGAAUCGUGUCAUCAACAAGAAACUAGGUAAAUAUAAACAUUUCUUCAUUUUUAUUUAAUUGGAUCAUAAAGUGUGCAAAAUAUUACAUAAAGGUGUUUUAAAAUGAUUGACAAUUCAAAGCACGUGGUAAAUUUCUUCAAGCUUUCUGUUGCUAAUCGACAUAUAUAUGUUAAAUUACGUUCUUCUGGGUUUUUUUAAUGCUGCAAUGAGUUAUGAUAUAACAAAAUAUGAAUAAAUGUGCAUUCGUGAAUUAUUUGUUUUAAACAAGGUUAUUUAGUAUUUUCAAUUCAAUUGUAUCCUACUAUCUAUACCGAGGCAUUUUAAAGCCUACUAAACUGUAUCGGUUUGCACAUUAUUGACGGCCGUAAGGUUGCUUAUACUUGUUUAAAAUCCACUUCAUUGAACUUUGGUGAAUAGUUUACGCAUUGGCAAUGUAAUUUAUAAAAUUUAUAUUCUAAUUCGACAAACUUUCACGAAUAUAAGUUAGUUAAUAAACGAACCACACGUUCAUAUGAUAUGUGUGUCUUAAUAUGUAACAGCAUUUCGGUAAAUUGUGCAUACAUGGUUUUUUGGAAGAAAAUAAUCUGCAUAGCAUGCCCUAGAAUUUAAAAUUUCAAGUGCAAUGUAUGUUUAAAAAAAAUAUUAACAGGAUUUUUGCAGUGCACUUUUGUUUGUCCUUGUAGAAGAUGUUAGAAUAAACGAACAGCUGAGUAAAUUUUACUUGGUAUUGUCCACUCAAGUACAGGCUCAUGCACAUAGUUUAAAUCACUGAUUAUUGUCUGGUCCCUCUAUGGAAAGACCCUUCAAUUAUAACUUGAUGGGAGGUUCUAAAACCUCUUUCCCUACUAAGUUUACUUUGGCAACUUCUGGAGGAAUGAGAAAAGCGUCCAUUGCAAAAUCCUGUUAAUCUUCUAAAACAUAAAAUAGAUAAAACCAAUAAUAGUAUACCGCUUUUCGAAAGUCAUAAACCGAUUGUGAGAAAACAAAUUCGGGCUACAAACUUAAACUGAGUACCUUGAUGUCUUAAUUUUUUUGCAGAUGCACAGGAUUGUCAGUACUUGAAGUAAUUUGUUGUUGAAAAAACAAUCAUCUUUGCCAAAGGGUCCACAUAAAUUUUAAUAUAUUCAUUUCUUGAAUGGAGGCAUGCAAAAAACAACCAGCAUAUAAAGUAUACAUACAAUCAACAAUAUCUAUCUACAAAAGGGAAAACAAUACAUAUUGAUAUAUGUUUAUAUAAUAGUAUACCAAUGCAACAUUAACAGGUUGGUAAACAUCAUUACUAGCUUCUACUACAUUAACUGGUAGACAAACUUCGAGCAACUUCAAAGUCUUCAACGAAACCUUAAUACUUAAGUACACGAAUCUAAUGUGUUGCAUAUACACUUAAAACCAUGUGAAAUAAACUCAAAUCAUGUGCUUAUUAUAAACACAAGCAUGUGUUAACAAUCACUUGUCCGUUACUAAAUCUUGGGGUCAAUUAUAUUUAUACAAGUAAAUAUAUUUAGUGUACGUGUAUUUUUAAAGGAGAAUAAGCUACGAAAUAAGAAACAAAUUAAAAUAUGAGUUUGUUUGUUUCAAUCAUAAAAAAACGUGGCAUAAUGAAAUAAUAGUUCACUUUUCGCAGCCAAUUUAGUUCCAUUUUGUCAAAAUAAGCAAGGAACCAUCGACAAUGAAAUCUACAUUUGCAAGUAAAUAGAUCAAUCUCGUUAAAUCCGUAGAUAUGAGACCAUAAAUUUAACCCAAAAGAUCGGUUACACAUGUAUUGGUCGUGUUAAGCAACCAAAAUGAAAAAAUGUAAACAUCGAAAGUGAAACAAAUGUAAACCAUGUCGUUGAAAGAUCAAUAAAAUACCUUUCUUAUACAGGUAUAAGCGAUAACGUAUUUAUUUUUAAACCUUUAUCAAUCCUUGGAGGUCAUUUUAUAUAGUUCAUUGGAUGGCGUCUUGAUUCAAAUACGAAAUUUGGGUCUAUUUUUGCCGAGUACAUGCUUUGGUAACUGAUAUCUCAGAAUAAUUGUAAUGUGGGCGUACGGUUUUGUAUGUUAUAAAUCAAAUAUAAGAAUCUUUAUCAAAUAAGUGAACAUGAAUUUUACAGCAAUUUCCCCCUUUAAAGAUUGUCAGUUCGCUGUUUCAAUUCACAAUGUUUCAAAGACGAAAAAAUUUUAAUCUAACAAUUGAAAAUUAAUUAAAAACCAAAGAAACCAAGGGUUUAUAAUGACUCAGUUGAAGUCUUUUGCAUUCUCAAUCACAAUUUGGUGUACAAAAAAGUUGUUGUUGUUACGAUUCCUUCCUCCUUUCCUUGGUUGUAACACAUCACUGAAUGUAUCUUCCUUGGUUGUUUCAUCACCGAAUGUAUCUUAUUACACGUGAUUAUAUUCGCAACUGUGUACUCUUCUUGUAGAACCUGACGUCACCUCCUCAUUUUGAUGAAAUUAGUUUUGCUUUAUUGUUUAUCUUUUGGUUAAAUGUUGGAUACAUUGUUGUUAUUGGACGUUAAGUAACCAACAAUCAAUUGUAGUCGUGGUGUUGUCAAUUUUCUACGAUUUAAUUUCUUCCGUGACAAUACAACCUUUUAGAUUGUCAAUGUGGACCAAAUUUAGCUCACGGUUUCAUUUGACGUGUAUACGGAGGAACCAUGGUUAGUUUAUCAUAUACAAUUGACGAAUAUACAUGAAAAAAAGGGUCCGGUAUGUUUGAUAAACAUUAACAUGAUUUUUUUCUCAAAAUAGCUUUGAUUUGCUGAUUUCUUUUUGAAAUGAUAGGUAUAAACUUCUUUACAUGUGCUGCUUACCGAACUAGUUGAUUCCUAAAGUUAACUACGAUUCUAGCUGGUAAUUUGUUCACCUCUCUUGAUGAUGAUGUUGAUAAUGAUCAAAAUUCAAAUAUUUGUAUUUCAAAUUUUAGUCAAGUUUUCAUACUAUUACAUGCUCUGAAGAUAGUGUACUUUAAGCACUUUCUUUGCAGAAACCCUAUUGCAGUUUAUCCAUUUUACCGAUAUGGAAAAAUAACAAUACUAUCUACACCUGCAAUAAAACAAGACGGAGCAAAAGUAAUUCAGUCAAUAGAAAAGUUUUAUUCAAGAGAAACAGAUGUAAUACUGUGUUCAUCCAUGAAAUCAGGUUUGGAAAAUUAUGUUCAAGUAAAGAUAACAAACACUAUGAAUUAAUUGUUUAACUAAAUUCUAUCAUAAACAGCAGGAGUUGUCUUUUUCUAGAUUUCUCAAGGGAAACUCCAUACUAAAUUUUACGACAAAAGAAACGAUUUUUCAUUCCCUAUUGUUAAUCUUCCUUUUUUAGACGGCGAUGUUCUUUUAGCUCCAUCAUACGGUGUUUAUAUAUUCCAACUCGUUCGAUAUGCCGUGUGUGUAGUGAUGUCAUAGAUUUUAACGAACGUAAUCAAUGCAUCAAUAGUAGAGUAUGUUCAUUGGAAUAUUACACAUCCCAACAGACAAGGGCAUAGCGAACGAGAUGUGGUAUAUAUGCACCAUAAGAAAAUUAACAAUUGGGAACAAAAAUCAUACAAUUUGUUGUAAAUUAUAGUGAAGAGUUUCCAGUGUAAAGUUGAAAUAGCUAAAUCUAGAAAAGGACAGUUAUUACCGUUUGCAUUUGAUUUAUUUAAAUUAAAAAAACUUUGGGAAAUUUUGGAAGUAUGUUUAUAAAAUUCUAAAUUAUUUAACGAAAAAAUGAUCAUCUAAAUAAAAGUUAGUUUUGUUGAAUUUAUAAUUUAAAUGCAAUAAAAAUAGGUCUUUUCUGGGUAUGGUCAUAAACUGUGAUUCAAAACAAUUUAAGAACACGUCUUGUAUCAAAGGGGCACAAUUGGUGCCCAUUAGAAUACUUACAACCUGUCGAUAAUGUAUAUUGCAGAAACAUAUUAUCAAGAAGAAAAUAAACAGCACCAAUCAUCUCAUCACACCUCUAGUAAGUAUGCUUAGCAUAAUUAAAAUUAUCAUUAGAGAAGAAGGUUUUAAAUGACUUGCAGCAAACAAAUUCGCAUUCAGUUUUACAAAACGACCAUCUAGUUAAACAGGCACCGAUUUUGGAAAAUGAUUUCAUUUUUGAUUUGGGAGCUAUUGGUUCAUCCAUCAUUAUGCUUUUUAAUCUUUUGUUUGAUAAGAUUGUAGAGAGGUGUAGUAUACAGGGCUGAGCAGUAUACUGCCAAUAAAUUCAAGAGAACCACCAAGAGCACGUUAUUUAUCUAAAACAUUCAUUGCAAUUACUACACUUCAAAAAAGUUAAUUCCACUACUUUCAUAUAUUCUAUUACAAAAGUUGUAAGUUCCUAAAUCGUAGUUAAAAUCACUGAAAGAUUAGAAGGUGUACAUGAAGGAGUCAUAACAAAGUCAACAAAGAUAAAAUUAUUCCUAAAGACCCUCUGUAAUUCCUUUAGACCCCUUCUGUAAGCAUGUGUAUAACGAGUUUUCAAAGUGCAAUGAUAUAAAUCCAGCAAAACUUCUGUCAAAAACAGACGUGUCAAAUUGUACACUUACUGGAAGGGAAUUGCGUACAGAGUAUUUUAUUGUUUCAUUGCGCAUGCAUCAAAUAGAAAAUGGGAUUAUAUAGGAUCAACCCAAGAUUUACUACUCAAGGCUUAACAUUGAGAAUGGAAAUUGGGAUUGUUGUACAACAUUGAAACAAACGAAAUAAUCACUAUGGCCCGAUAAUUAAGCUAAGCGUUCAAAAGUAAUAUUUAAACAUGCAAACUAAUAAGUUCUGGUCACAAACUUUGAUCCCCGUCAUUGUUUGAAAAUAGUUCAUCGAGUAAUACUCCGAAGCAGGGUAUUAAAUAACACAUAUCUCCAUAGAUGCGUAUAUAUGAACGUAUCAGAUACUUAGAAAAUAUUAUAACUUGUCAUACCUUUAUUGUUGUCAGAUGUCUAUUAUUUCUCCUUUGUCCUUGCCAUUUAUUAAGGUUUACUUGAUUAUUACACAAGGGGAACUUCUAGAAAAAUGUUUUUCAGUAAAACAGUUAAACCCCUAUAAGUUCUUAAUUUUAAGACAUAUUCAAUGUUUUGAAAUUGAUAUAUCUAGGUCAUGCUAUUUGUUAAAAAUGUUUACAGAUGCAAAUGUUGGUCUGCGCUAACAAUUAAUUAUAUAGUGUUAGCAUAGCCAUUUUAGCUAAAGAGUCUGAAUCAACAUUUGUAGAUAUUUUGUACAUUAAGAAGAAGUAAUGAAUUCUCAACAUUUAUUUUUCCUGCUUUCUUUUAAGGUACACACUGGGCUCACGAAAUUAUUUCAAUGCUUUUACACCAGACAAUAGAGUAUAAUACGUUUGGUGUAAUGGCCAAGUUUAACUUCGAAUGCCAAACA
This 5397-nucleotide long non-coding RNA is filed under the name Mytilus galloprovincialis (Mediterranean mussel). Lineage: Eukaryota; Metazoa; Mollusca; Bivalvia; Mytilida; Mytilidae. The record is from RNAcentral.